RNAcentral lists this ribosomal RNA (443 nucleotides) under uncultured bacterium. RNAcentral's name for it is "partial 16S ribosomal RNA". It matches the Rfam family "Bacterial small subunit ribosomal RNA", at positions 338 to 795 of the family's 1533-position model. The record is from RNAcentral.
CCUACGGGGGUCUGCAGUGGGGAAUAUUGGGCAAUGGGCGCAAGCCUGACCCAGCAACGCCGCGUGAAGGAAGAAGGCUUUCGGGUUGUAAACUUCUUUUCUCAGGGACGAAGAAAGUGACGGUACCUGAGGAAUAAGCCACGGCUAACUACGUGCCAGCAGCCGCGGUAAUACGUAGGUGGCAAGCGUUAUCCGGAUUUACUGGGUGUAAAGGGCGUGUAGGCGGGAAAGCAAGUCAGAUGUGAAAACCAUGGGCUCAACCUGUGGCCUGCAUUUGAAACUGUUUUUCUUGAGUACUGGAGAGGCAGACGGAAUUCCUCGUGUAGCGGUGAAAUGCGUAGAUAUGAGGAGGAACACCAGUGGCGAAGGCGACUAUCUGGCACAUAACUGACGCUGAGGAGCGAAAGCGUGGGUAGCAAACAGGAUUAGAUACCCGUGUAGUC